Molecule: ribosomal RNA, 660 nt
Filed under: uncultured bacterium
Lineage: Bacteria
Description: bacterial SSU rRNA
Rfam family: Bacterial small subunit ribosomal RNA
Source: RNAcentral
AGUGGCGGACGGGUGAGUAACGCGUGAGAAUCUGCCUUGGGGUCGGGGACAACCACUGGAAACGGUGGCUAAUACCGGAUAAGCCGAUUGGUGAAAGAUUUAUUGCCCGAAGAGGAGCUCGCGUCUGAUUAGCUAGUUGGUGAGGUAAGAGCUCACCAAGGCAGCGAUCAGUAGCUGGUCUGAGAGGACGAUCAGCCACACUGGGACUGAGACACGGCCCAGACUCCUACGGGAGGCAGCAGUGGGGAAUUUUCCGCAAUGGGCGAAAGCCUGACGGAGCAAGACCGCUUGAGGGAGGAAGGCUCUUGGGUUGUAAACCUCUUUUCUCAGGGAAGAACCUCUGACGGUACCUGAGGAAUCAGCCUCGGCUAACUCCGUGCCAGCAGCCGCGGUAAUACGGAGGAGGCAAGCGUUAUCCGGAAUUAUUGGGCGUAAAGCGUCCGCAGGUGGCGAUUCAAGUCUGCUGUCAAAGCACGGGGCUUAACUCCGUAAAGGCAGUGGAAACUGAAUAGCUAGAGUGCCGUAGGGGUAGAGGGAAUUCCCGGUGUAGCGGUGAAAUGCGUAGAGAUCGGGAAGAACAUCGGUGGCGAAAGCGCUCUACUGGACGGCAACUGACACUCAGGGACGAAAGCUAGGGGAGCGAAUGGGAUUAGAUACCCC